GGUCCGCUGGCGUAAUGGCAGCGCGUCUGACUACGAUGAUAUAGUAAAUCAGGAGGUUCCAGGUUCGACCCCUGGGCGGAUCG
Molecule: non-coding RNA, 83 nt
Organism: Podospora fimiseda
Lineage: Eukaryota; Fungi; Ascomycota; Sordariomycetes; Sordariales; Podosporaceae
Source: the annotation of a GenBank genome assembly